RNAcentral lists this ribosomal RNA (495 nucleotides) under uncultured bacterium. RNAcentral describes it as "partial 16S ribosomal RNA". It matches the Rfam family "Bacterial small subunit ribosomal RNA", at positions 28 to 506 of the family's 1533-position model. The record is from RNAcentral.
GAUGAACGCUGGCGGCGUGCCUAAUACAUGCAAGUCGAGCGAACGGACGAGAAGCUUGCUUCUCUGAUGUUAGCGGCGGACGGGUGAGUAACACGUGGAUAACCUACCUAUAAGACUGGGAUAACUUCGGGAAACCGGAGCUAAUACCGGAUGAUAUUUUGAACCGCAUGGUUCAAAAGUGAAAGACGGUCUUGCUGUCACUUAUAGAUGGAUCCGCGCUGCAUUAGCUAGUUGGUAAGGUAACGGCUUACCAAGGCAACGAUGCAUAGCCGACCUGAGAGGGUGAUCGGCCACACUGGAACUGAGACACGGUCCAGACUCCUACGGGAGGCAGCAGUAGGGAAUCUUCCGCAAUGGGCGAAAGCAUGACGGAGCACCGCCGCGUGAGUGAUGAAGGUCUUCGGAUCGUAAAACUCUGUUAUUGGAAAGAACAUAUGUGUAAGUAACUGUGCACAUCUUGACGGUACCGAAUCAGAAAGCCACGGCGAACUACGU